GACGAACGCUGGCGGCGUGCCUAAUACAUGCAAGUAGAACGCUGAAGGAGGAGCUUGCUCUUCUGGAUGAGUUGCGAACGGGUGAGUAACGCGUAGGUAACCUGCCUGGUAGCGGGGGAUAACUAUUGGAAACGAUAGCUAAUACCGCAUAAUAGUAGAUGUUGCAUGAUAUUUACUUAAAAGGUGCAAUUGCACCACUACCAGAUGGACCUGCGUUGUAUUAGCUAGUUGGUGGGGUAACGGCUCACCAAGGCGACGAUACAUAGCCGACCUGAGAGGGUGAUCGGCCACAAUGGGACUGAGACACGGCCCAGACUCCUACGGGAGGCAGCAGUAGGGAAUCUUCGGCAAUGGACGAAAGUCUGACCGAGCAACGCCGCGUGAGUGAAGAAGGUUUUCGGAUCGUAAAGCUCUGUUGUAAGAGAAGAACGAGUGUGAGAGUGGAAAGUUCACACUGUGACGGUAUCUUACCAGAAAGGAACGGCUAACUACGU
RNAcentral lists this ribosomal RNA (494 nucleotides) under uncultured bacterium. Its description in RNAcentral is "partial 16S ribosomal RNA". It matches the Rfam family "Bacterial small subunit ribosomal RNA", at positions 28 to 506 of the family's 1533-position model. The record is from RNAcentral.